Molecule: microRNA precursor, 103 nt
Filed under: Marmota monax (woodchuck)
Lineage: Eukaryota; Metazoa; Chordata; Mammalia; Rodentia; Sciuridae
Source: RNAcentral
AGUGAGAUAGCUGGGUCAUAUGGUGGUUCCACCCCUAGUUUUUUGAGUAAUCUCCUUACUGCUUUCUAGAAUGAUUAUACUAGUUUGCAGUCCCACUAACAAU